UUUCUUGGGCGGUCGAAUAUUUUGGACCCUGCUACUGUAUUUCAGUUCCUUUCCUGUCCCUGCUACUGUAUUUCAGUUCAGUUAUUUCCCCUUCAUCUACCUUUUCGGGAGAUUGGGAGUGCCGUCGGCAAUGGCGGAGCAGGUGGUGGCGGACCUCCGAGAGAAGUGCGCCACGCCGCCGUCGCUGCUGUGCGACGUGGCGGCGGCGAUGGCCGACGAGAUGUGCGCGGGACUGGGGAAGGAGGGUGGGAGCAGGGUCCAGAUGCUGCUCUCCUACGUUGACAAGCUCCCCACGGGGAGAGAGGAAGGUUUGUUCUAUGGACUGGACCUAGGAGGGACAAACUUCCGUGUCUUGAAGGUGCAGCUAGGUGGCAAUGAUAAGCAUGUCAUUAGCUGCGAGUCCAGAGAAGUCGCCAUCCCACCACAUUUGAUGUCAGGGAGCUCCUCUGAAUUGUUUGGUUUCAUUGCUUCUGAAUUAGCCAAGUUUGUGGCUGAUGAAGAGAAGGGUACUAGCUUGUCAAACGAGAAGACACGGAAACUAGGAUUCACAUUUUCUUUCCCAGUGAGGCAACGGUCUGUUGCAUCAGGGACCCUUGUCAAGUGGACAAAGGCAUUUUCUAUAGAAGAUGCUGUAGGUAAAGAUGUAGUUGCUGAACUGCAAACAGCUAUGCAGAAGCAAGGUCUAGACAUGCAUGUGGCUGCACUAAUUAAUGACGCUGUUGGGACAUUGGCUGGAGCCAGAUACUACGAUGAAGAUGUCGUCGCAGGUGUGAUAUUUGGCACUGGCACAAAUGCUGCUUAUGUUGAGAAGGCAAAUGCUAUACCAAAAUGGGAAGGAGAGCUGCCUAAUUCAGGAGAAAUGGUCAUUAAUAUGGAAUGGGGUAAUUUCUAUUCAUGCCAUCUUCCAGUCACUGAAUACGAUCAAGCAUUAGAUAGUGAAAGCUUAAAUCCAGGAGAGCAGAUCUACGAGAAGUUAACCUCAGGAAUGUAUUUAGGUGAAAUUGUAAGGAGGGUGUUGCUUAAACUGUCCUUGCAAUCUGGCAUUUUUGGUGAAAUUGACCACACUAAGCUCAAAACUCAUUUCCAUCUCCGGACUCCGCAUAUUUCUGCAAUGCACCAUGACGACACGCCCAAUCUGAAGAUAGUAGAAGAAAAACUGGAAGAAAUCCUAGAGAUUGCAAGCACGUCCUUAGAGACGCGGAAAAUGGUUGUUGAGAUCUGCGACAUUGUUGCAAGAAGGGCAGCCCGGCUGGCUGCUGCGGGCCUUGCAGGGAUCCUCAAGAAGCUUGGGAGAGAUGGCUGUGUCGACAAGCAUCGGUCGGUCAUCGCCAUCGAUGGAGGACUGUUCGAACACUAUGCCAAGUUCAGCAAAUGUUUGGAAGCUACUCUAUAUGAGCUGCUAGGGGAGCAGUCAUCGAAGUCGGUAGUCAUCAAGCACGCGGACGAUGGCUCGGGGAUAGGGGCUGCCCUGAUCGCUGCUUCCCAAUCUCAGUGCAGAAAUGUUGAAUAGCAGUAGGCAAGCUAGUUGCCAUACAUUUUAUGUCCCCAUUUCAGGGGUGAAAGAUAAACGGCACCUAAUUCUCCAGCAUGUACUUACAGUGUACCCGUGCUGGAACUGUAAGAGGUCCAUGACCGAAACGAGGCUAGAUGAGGUCACCUUGGACAGUUAAAAUAAAAGGGAACCUGAGGUCUCAUGAAUCGGCAACCAUCUUUUUGAGUAACAAGCUUCUUUGAAUGUCAAAUUCCUACGCUCCAAACUGCCCUGUUGCACUAUUGCUCAUCAACAAGGUUAAUUCGUGAACCUUGGAGGUUAAAAAGCUCAUCAAACUGGCAUACUACUAUGUACAAAAAGGCCAAAAGUUGUGGUGAUAAAGAAGAGGACAGCGACCCAAUCAGACAAGUUUGAGACAAGUGCAGGUGGAAGGCUGAAGUUGUGGCGAUCAGGAUAACGACUUCAGCAGUGAAGGAAUCUCUAUCCCGCACUAAAUUCAGCACGUACAAUAAUGGAGAAACACAGGACAGAUCACAUCAUUUGCUCAAGUAAAAGCUUCCCCAGAAACAUACAGAUGGCUACCACAUUCGGCUCUCAAACCGCCGCAGCCGCCGCUGUGUAGAGCCCGAAAUAAUCACUCUUCCACUGACCCGGCCUUGGGUUUCAAAGGAGUUGUCUUUGUGGAAAGCAAUAAAUCAAACGAUCCACAUCGAUUGUUCAUGGCCCAAUUCAGUGAUACCUGUAGACAAUCUGCUGGAGAGCGUUUUUCGCCUCACUGUCUGUAUCUCAUAUAGACAGCCGUUUGGACGAGCUGCCCGAGAUGCUCUUGUAAUUAGUAAGGGAUAUGCGCAGCAAUAGUCAGCGUCAUUGUUACGCCGGGCAUGCUCCAUAAAGGUUUGCAGUUGCCAACGAUCCAGACAAAACUAUUGACAGGAUCUUUAUAAAGGUACUGCUGCUGCUGCUGCUGCUGCUCUUUGAAUUGCAUCAUUUCCUAUGCAGAGCAUGACCAUU
RNA transcript from Triticum dicoccoides, 2503 nucleotides. It is a transcript of the gene named hexokinase-8-like, with no coding region annotated. NCBI's taxonomy places the organism in Eukaryota, Viridiplantae, Streptophyta, Magnoliopsida, Poales, Poaceae. The transcript is spliced from 10 exons. The record is from RefSeq and is a predicted model, not a curated record.